UCGAGGAUCUUCGUCAAUGGGCGCAAGCCUGAACGAGCGAUGCCGCGUGAGCGAUGAAGGCCUUCGGGUUGUAAAGCUCAAAAGAAGCGAGAAAGGGAAACUUGAUCAAGCUUCAGUAAGCUCGGGCUAAGUUCGUGCCAGCAGCCGCGGUAAGACGAACCGAGCGAACGUUGUUCGGAAUCACUGGGCUUAAAGGGCGCGUAGGCGGGUGCUCAAGUCCGGGGUGAAAUCCCACAGCUCAACUGUGGAACUGCCUCGGAUACUGGGUGUCUCGAGGGUGGCAGGGGUAUGCGGAACUAUCGGUGGAGCGGUGAAAUGCGUUGAUAUCGAUAGGAACUCCGGUGGCGAAGGCGGCAUACUGGUCCACUUCUGACGCUGAGGCGCGAAAGCCAGGGGAGCAAACG
Molecule: ribosomal RNA, 404 nt
Filed under: uncultured Gemmata sp.
Lineage: Bacteria; Pseudomonadati; Planctomycetota; Planctomycetia; Gemmatales; Gemmataceae
Description: bacterial SSU rRNA
Rfam family: Bacterial small subunit ribosomal RNA
Source: RNAcentral